RNAcentral lists this ribosomal RNA (916 nucleotides) under uncultured archaeon. Its description in RNAcentral is "SSU rRNA". It matches the Rfam family "Archaeal small subunit ribosomal RNA", at positions 1 to 923 of the family's 1478-position model. The record is from RNAcentral.
UUCCGGGUUGAUCCCGCCGGACCUGACUGCUAUCGGAUUGAUACUAAGCCAUGCGAGUCUUUGCAGUAAUGCAAGGCAGACGGCUCAGUAACACGUAGUCAACUUACCCUAUGGACGAGGAUAAUCUCGGGAAACUGAGCAUAAUACUCGAUAGAUCAUAAUGCCUGGAAUGGUUUAUGGUUAAAAUGAUUCGUCGCCAUAGGAUGGGACUGCGGCCUAUCAGCUUGUUGGUGAGGUAAUGGCCCACCAAGGCGAUUACAGGUACGGGCUCUGAGAGGAGAAGCCCGGAGAUGGGUACUGAGACAAGGACCCAGGCCCUAUGGGGCGCAGCAGGCGAGAAAACUUUGCAAUGUGCGAAAGCACGACAAGGUUAAUUCGAGUGAUUUCUGCUAAAGAGAUCUUUUGCAAGUCAUAAAACCACUAGUGAAUAAGGGGUGGGCAAGUUCUGGUGUCAGCCGCCGCGGUAAAACCAGCACCUCAAGUGGUCAGGAGGAUUAUUGGGCCUAAAGCAUCCGUAGCCGGCUCUGUAAGUUUUCGGUUAAAUCCAUGUGCUCAACGCAUGGGCUGCCGAAAAUACUGCACAGCUAGGGAGUGGGAGAGGUAGACGGUACUCAGUAGGAAGGGGUAAAAUCCUUUGAUCUAUUGAUGACCACCUGUGGCGAAGGCGGUCUACCAGAACACGUUCGACGGUGAGGGAUGAAAGCUGGGGGAGCAAACCGGAUUAGAUACCCGGGUAGUCCCAGCUGUAAACGAUGCAGACUCGAUGAUGCAUUGGCAUAUAGCCAGUGCAGUGUCGCAGGGAAGCCGUUAAGUCUGCCGCCUGGGAAGUACGUACGCAAGUAUGAAACUUAAAGGAAUUGGCGGGGGAGCACCACAAGGGGUGAAGCCUGCGGUUCAAUUGGAUUCAACGCCGGGA